Molecule: long non-coding RNA, 1336 nt
Organism: Bos indicus x Bos taurus (hybrid cattle)
Lineage: Eukaryota; Metazoa; Chordata; Mammalia; Artiodactyla; Bovidae
Source: Ensembl
CACGGAACUUGUGCUGGAGGGGAGGGGAGGGGGCAGGCCCUCCUUUCACACUCAGAUAUGGAGACUGAAAGCACGCCCAGACCUGUGGAGAAGGAGGUUGGCCACUCUUGCAUGUGAGCUGAGGGACAAUGGGCCACAAGCAUCCUCCUACCUGACUGAGAGAAUGAAGGAAUUCCGAGCUGACCAGCAGAGACAGCUGACAAACAAGGCCAGGGCGGCUGGUGUCCGGCCGAGACAGCCUUCUGUUUCCUUGAGUUCACACAGGGGAAGAGGAAGUCUUCAUCAACCGCAGAGCACAUUGAAGCAGAGCCUGAGGAGGGGCCCCAGAAGCCCCAGCUGGGAACCUGUGGCUGUGGCCACGAUGCUCUCUUAAGUCUUCAGGAAACUGCUCACCGUGUGCUCAAAACUUUGACAACACUGGUCACUGGUCACCAGAGGCUUGUCCUUAACAGCACUGAAUAUAUAUCAACUGUCGUUUGUAAGAAGAGAAGCCUCCACCGUGCCUUAGGGAUACACAGCUGACUUGGGAGGACUGAUGUGGAUGUUACAUGAGGCCGUGUUCUCCUCCUUGCUCUCUAAUUAGUCUUUGGUGGGUACCAGACUCAGCAGAAGAGGCUGCAAGGCUUCUGGCCUCACAAACCACCUUGCCCUUGCCUGUCCCAUCGACCCCAUCUUGGAGAACCAUCUUACCGUCAGUCAGUCAUGUUCCCCUGCCUCACGCCAAUGCUACAUUGAGGUCCCACUGCCAAACCAUACCGCUUUUAGCCCUGGAGAUGUCCCAGCUCCUCCCUGAGGUCUCGAUGGAAUGGGGAGUGCCACCCCCUCCCCGCCCCCAGAUUCCUCCCGUGAAAGCUGCGAAGAAGCCGAGGCUGGAGCAGAAUGACUCCGUGGCAUUUACCGUGCCAGCAGCGCCCCUCCAUCAGCUCCGGAGAAGCAGUGUGUGUCUGUGAGCUUCCUGGGGGCAAGAGGGAUAGUGGGGGGCAGAUAGUGAGAGUGCCACCCCCCCCAAGACCUUUAGCCAGGUGCAGUCACGGUGAAAGCAUCCAGUCUUGAAGAGGAAAGAGCGUCCAUCGACAAGAUUUCCACACACCCUCUGAGGGGCAAAGUGACUCUCAGAGGAACAGGAAAAUUAGCUGGGAGCUUGCUCCAGGAGUCCCUUCCUAAUUUCCCCAACUUGGAAGGGGGAAGGGGCUGCUUAAGAAAGGCUUCUUUUCUAAAGAUGGGUUGAAAGUUUGCAAAAUACUGCUGUCUGGUGGUGGUUUAGUCGCUAAGGCGUGUCUGACCCUUGCGAACCAGUGGACUGUACUCCCCCACCCCCACCCACCACGCUCCUCUG